RNAcentral lists this long non-coding RNA (271 nucleotides) under Manihot esculenta (cassava). Its description in RNAcentral is "long non-coding RNA (MESC_LNC011554)". Lineage: Eukaryota; Viridiplantae; Streptophyta; Magnoliopsida; Malpighiales; Euphorbiaceae. The record is from RNAcentral.
CUUCGGCAGCCGAAUGUGCAUGACAGAUCCGAAAGUCCAGCUUCCGGAAGCAGCCUUCGGCAGCCGAAGCCACCUCCACAAGGCUUUUCGGCGGCCGAAACUCACUUCGGCGGCCGAACCUGAGUUCUUCCAGAACCCAGUUCAUGCACAAACAUCUCUCCUCAACCCUUCCUCACAUACCCAACAUGCAUAAAACCUCCUCAAGACAUGCAUAGACCUCUAAACAUACCCAAAGAGGCCUAAAACACUCUUAAACUCUAACAACAAUAAC